UACGUAGGGUGCGAGCGUUAAUCGGAAUUACUGGGCGUAAAGCGUGCGCAGGCGGUUGUGUAAGCCAGACGUGAAAUCCCCGGGCUUAACCUGGGAAUGGCGUUUGGGACUGCACGGCUGGAGUAUGGCAGAGGGGACUAGAAUUCCUGGUGUAGCAGUGAAAUGCGUAGAUAUCAGGAGGAAUACCGAUGGCGAAGGCAGGUCCCUGGGCUGAUACUGACGCUCAUGCACGAAAGCGUGGGGAGCAAACAGG
Molecule: ribosomal RNA, 253 nt
Filed under: uncultured bacterium
Lineage: Bacteria
Description: partial 16S ribosomal RNA
Rfam family: Bacterial small subunit ribosomal RNA
Source: RNAcentral